This is a long non-coding RNA of Tachyglossus aculeatus (Australian echidna), 646 nucleotides long. RefSeq lists it as uncharacterized. The transcript has 5 exons. NCBI's taxonomy places the organism in Eukaryota, Metazoa, Chordata, Mammalia, Monotremata, Tachyglossidae. The record is from RefSeq and is a predicted model, not a curated record.
ACACGGCAUUCCCGGGGAGUCAGGUGUCCUCGCCCCUGAAGACCACCUCCCCCUCCCCACCGGGAUGAGCCCCCUCGGCUCCCCCGACCAUGGACAUGCUGACCUGGAUCACCUGCCUUCCAGCCAUGGUUCUCAGCGAGAUGGACUGAUCCCAUCGCCUGACAGAUAGCCAGACUUCAAGGCCCUGAAGACCCUAGGUAGGAAAAUGAUCAAGCCAGUUUUUGAAUGAAGCCGAUUUCUCCAGAGAAGUGAAGUCAGUCGCCCGAGGUCGCCAAGCAUCUAAGUGGCAGAACUGGGAUUAGAACCCACAACCUUCCAACCCCAUGCUCUUUCCGCUAGACCACACUGCUUCUCAGCGGUAGGAGCCUGGUUCUCCGUCUACUUCCGACUCCCUCCCGCCAACGUUGCCGCCUUCCAGAUCUUCCCACGGCUCCACUGGGACAGAGCGCUGCAUCCCCGGGGCCUUCGGAAAAGAAGCUGAAUUCCCAACCAAACGAGAGAACUAAGCGGAGCCGUCUGUUUCCAGGUGGCGAUGCCCCCGCUCUGAGGCUGCCUGGCGGUCGGCCGGGCCUCUCCUCGCCGAGCCCGGGGCCAACGUCUGGUCUCCCCGCGGUGUCCCCCUUCCCGGCCCGGCCCGACCCAGCCC